Molecule: long non-coding RNA, 828 nt
Filed under: Rattus norvegicus (Norway rat)
Lineage: Eukaryota; Metazoa; Chordata; Mammalia; Rodentia; Muridae
Description: long non-coding RNA NONRATT008406
Source: RNAcentral
GGCUUCUUUCACCCUGACGUCUGACUUUUACCGUGCAGAGACCAGAAGUCCUCAGGUUUGAUAUCCUCAGUCCCGGGGGACUUUGAGACUACUCGUAAUCUCAAGAGUGACUUGGGCUGUAGCCAGGAUUGACUAUUCCACUGUGAGGGCUAAAUUGAAAAAGGAACAAAGGCAUCUGAAACGUCUUUGGAACCCCCUCUGAAUAUAUCUGGUGGUGUAUAAGCAGCUAACAGACAUUGGGCCCAGCAGAACUAAUUGACUGUGUGGUCUCUUAUGCUAUUAAAUUCUUUUUGGAAGUUGAAGCAUCAUCCUUUGAUUAAAAACUGUGUGCAGGGAUGGCCUUUCAAUUCAAUUUCAGUAUAGAAGAAGAUCUGGAAAAUAAAUUAACUUCCCUCGAUGAUGGAACUUGUGUGUUCAGUCUUUGUUAGUUCCUUGUCUCCCUGAAGCGCCUGGCUAGAUCGUUAAGGACUUGUAUCCCUGAAUAAUACUGACCUCAAGCAUUUGGUCAAAGGCCUAUGUUAACUCAGAAGACUUUAUUGAUUUGCAUUAUGUCAAAGUGUUAGCACACUAGGCAAUUGGCUGCAUUAAGUUAGAUGGAGUGGUUUGUAUAUGCUUGGUCCAGGGAGUGGCACUAUUAAAGGGUGUAGCCCUGUUGGAGUAAGUGUGUCACUGUGAGUGUGAGCUAUAAAACCCUCAUCCCAGCUGCCUGGAUGUCAGUAUUCUGCUAGCAGCCUUCAGAUGAAGAUGUAGAACUCUCAGCUCCUCCUGCACCAUGCCUGCCUGGAUGCUGCCAUGUUACUUGCUUUGAUGAUAAUGGACUGAACCUCU